Molecule: ribosomal RNA, 519 nt
Filed under: uncultured eukaryote
Lineage: Eukaryota
Description: SSU rRNA
Rfam family: Eukaryotic small subunit ribosomal RNA
Source: RNAcentral
GGGGCACCACCAGGAGUGGAGCCUGCGGCUUAUUUUGACUCAACACGGGGAAACUUACCCGGCCUGGACACUGGAAGGAUUGACAGAUUGAGAGCUCUUUCUUGAUUCAGUGGGUGGUGGUGCAUGGCCGUUCUUAGUUGGUGGAGCGAUUUGUCUGGUUAAUUCCGAUAACAAACGAGACUCUAGCCUAUUAAAUAGGCUCUCGGCUUUUAAACGCCGGGAGGACUUCUUAGAGGGACAGGUGGCGGUUCAGCCGCACGAAAGAGAGCAAUAACAGGUCUGUGAUGCCCUUUGUUGUCCGGGGCCGCACGCGCGCUACACUGAAGAGAUCAGCGUGCUUUACUUUCCUGCUCCGACCGGAGUGGGGAACCCAGUGAACCUUCUUCGUGAUUGGGAUAGAAGAUUGUAAUUAUUCUUCUUGAACGAGGAAUUCCCAGUAAAUGCGAGUCAUAAGCUCGCGUUGAUUACGUCCCUGCCCUUUGUACACACCGCCCGUCGCUACUACCGAUUGAACGAUUU